This 401-nucleotide ribosomal RNA is filed under the name uncultured bacterium. RNAcentral's name for it is "bacterial SSU rRNA". It matches the Rfam family "Bacterial small subunit ribosomal RNA", at positions 356 to 774 of the family's 1533-position model. The record is from RNAcentral.
CGGGAAUUUUGGGCAAUGGGCGAAAGCCUGACCCAGCAACGCCGCGUGAGGGAUGAAGUAUUUCGGUAUGUAAACCUCGAAAGAAUGGGAAGAAUAAAUGACGGUACCAUUUAUAAGCUCCGGCUAACUACGUGCCAGCAGCCGCGGUAAUACGUAGGGAGCAAGCGUUGUUCGGAUUUACUGGGCGUAAAGGGCGCGUAGGCGGCGCGGUAAGUCACUUGUGAAAUCUCUGAGCUUAACUCAGAACGGCCAAGUGAUACUGCUGUGCUAGAGUGCGGAAGAGGCAACCGGAAUUCUUGGUGUAGCGGUGAAAUGCGUAGAUAUCAAGAGGAACACCUGAGGCAAAGGCGGGUUGCUGGGCCGACACUGACGCUGAUGCGCGAAAGCCAGGGGAGCAAACG